GAUGAACGCUAGCUACAGGCUUAACACAUGCAAGUCGAGGGGCAGCAUUUUUAUAGCAAUAUAAAAGAUGGCGACCGGCGCACGGGUGAGUAACACGUAUCCAACCUGCCGAUAACUCGGGGAUAACCCUUCGAAAGAGGGCCUAAUACCCGAUGGCAUAUCCCUUCCGCCUGGUUGGGAUAUUAAAGAACUUCGGUUAUCGAUGGUGAUGCGUUCCAUUAGCUUGUGGCGGGGUAACCGCCCACCGAAGGCUUCGAUGGAUAGGGGUUCUGAGAGG
RNAcentral lists this ribosomal RNA (277 nucleotides) under uncultured bacterium. RNAcentral describes it as "partial 16S ribosomal RNA". It matches the Rfam family "Bacterial small subunit ribosomal RNA", at positions 28 to 299 of the family's 1533-position model. The record is from RNAcentral.